Molecule: ribosomal RNA, 448 nt
Filed under: uncultured bacterium
Lineage: Bacteria
Description: bacterial SSU rRNA
Rfam family: Bacterial small subunit ribosomal RNA
Source: RNAcentral
UGGGGAAUUUUGGACAAUGGGGGCAACCCUGAUCCAGCCAUGCCGCGUGAGUGAAGAAGGCCUUCGGGUUGUAAAGCUCUUUUGGCCGGAAAGAAAAGGCCGCGGAUAACACCCGCGGUCCUUGACGGUACCGGCAGAAUAAGCACCGGCUAACUACGUGCCAGCAGCCGCGGUAAUACGUAGGGUGCGAGCGUUAAUCGGAAUUACUGGGCGUAAAGCGUGCGUAGGCGGUCCCGCAAGUCCGCUGUGAAAGCCCCGGGCUUAACCUGGGAAUUGCAGUGGAAACUAUGGGACUUGAAUCCGGCAGAGGGGGGUGGAAUGCCACGUGUAGCAGUGAAAUGCGUAGAGAUGUGGCGGAACACCGAUGGCGAAGGCAGCCCCCUGGGCCGAGAUUGACGCUCAGGCACGAAAGCGUGGGGAGCAAACAGGAUUAGAUACCCCUGUAGUC